This 235-nucleotide unclassified non-coding RNA is filed under the name fungal sp. Its description in RNAcentral is "partial internal transcribed spacer region". The stretch from base 1 to 46 matches the Rfam family "Eukaryotic small subunit ribosomal RNA", at positions 1786 to 1831 of the family's 1831-position model. Lineage: Eukaryota; Fungi. The record is from RNAcentral.
AAGUCGUAACAAGGUAACCGUAGGUGAACCUGCGGUUGGAUCAUUACAAAAUCCACCUGUCAACGGGGCAACCCCGCGACAUACACACCUUUGUGAACUUAUUGUCUUUGGCGUGUUUUCUCGAAAGGGAGGCCGCCAAGCUAUAUACUCUAUAUUAUUUUUACUUAUACCUUUUUUUCUUUUGAAAAAAAAGCUAAUGAGAUAACAACUUUUGACAACGGAUCUCUUGGCUCUC